This 734-nucleotide ribosomal RNA is filed under the name Pseudomonas chlororaphis subsp. piscium. Its description in RNAcentral is "partial 23S ribosomal RNA". Lineage: Bacteria; Pseudomonadati; Pseudomonadota; Gammaproteobacteria; Pseudomonadales; Pseudomonadaceae. The record is from RNAcentral.
UGACGAGAUCGAAGUCGGGAUGGUGGGCGUCAACGUACCGCUGCCGGUACCUGUGGCUUACCACAGCUUCGGUGGUUGGAAGCGUUCGCUGUUUGGCGACCUGCAUGCCUACGGUCCGGACGGCGUGCGCUUCUAUACCCGUCGCAAGGCGAUCACUCAGCGCUGGCCGCAGCGUGCCAGCCAUGAAGCCUCGCAGUUCGCCUUCCCUAGCUUGUAAUAAGUAGAAGGGUAUUAAAGGCCGCCCCCUAGGGGGCGGCCUUUGCUUUUAGGGGCGUUUUUGACUGAUAUGACAGAUUUGUGAAAAUAAGUGUUGACGACAGAUUCUACAGGUCUAUAAUUCGCCCCACUUCCGGCGCAGUCGAAACGGAAAACUCCUUGAGAUUCAACGAGUUACGCAGUUUUCGACAGCGGUUACGCUUCAGUUCAUCGAAGCCCGAAGGAGUUGGUAAGGUGUCUUGUUUUCGCCUUAUUAACGGUUCGAUCUUCUCGGUCGAAAGCGGAGAAAAAGAGGUGUUGACAGCAGCGUGUAACGCUGUAGAAUUCGCCUCCCGCUGACGAGAGAUCGGAAGCGCAAGUGGUUGAAGUUGCAAAGGAAACUUUGAAAACUUCUUAAAAUAACCGCUUGACAGAUACAGAGGCUGCUGUAGAAUGCGCGCCUCGGUUGAGACGAAAGACUUAACCAACCGCUCUUUAACAACUGAAUCAAGCAAUUCGUGUGGGUGCUUGUGGAGUCA